Molecule: long non-coding RNA, 1081 nt
Filed under: Marmota monax (woodchuck)
Lineage: Eukaryota; Metazoa; Chordata; Mammalia; Rodentia; Sciuridae
Source: RNAcentral
UUACUUUUUUUUUUAAAGCCCUACUCCCCAACAUUUAACCUUAAAAACUAUUUUAAAUGUAUUUUAUUAUAAGGGAAAUACAAAUGGCUGAUAAAUACCAAAAACAUUCAAAAGCAGCUUAAUUUAAAAAGCACAAAGAGAUUCUGGCUUGAAAUGCCAAAACCUCAAAUGUUUUUAUAGUUGCUGAGCUAAAUAAUGUGAUUCUUGAGUUUACAGAUUUAAACUGUCACUGAAAGGUUAAAGUGUCUACUGUUUUAUGAAAUUAAACUUAACACUGCCUCAGAAAUCCCGGUACUGAAAUGGUAACAUGGAAGUAAAGAGAUCAGUAUGAAAUAGUGGUGAGUCACAAUGAUUAAAAAAAAAAAAAAGGUUGGUUUGCAGAAAGGCAUAAGAAGAAAAGGUUAUUGGAAUAGUUACUCAGCAGCACAUUUACUCUCUCAAAAAUAGUCUCAUAUGGGUUGGAUUUUUAAUAUCAGAUUAUAUAAUUUUGGUCUCUGGUCAAAAUUUUGUACCUUAUAAUACUUAGAGCCAGGCUUAACGUUAUGUGGCUUUGUCUAUUACAGAUACUUGGAAAUGCCACCAAAUAUGUUGUUCUCUAAAGAGUAACUUUCUCUUAUUGAUUGAAAAUUACAGUUCUUAUAAACAAAACCCAUAUAUAAAUAGAUAUAUAUAAAUUAAUUUUAUUGCAGAAGUUUGAAAUUUAUAGCAUUUGAAUCUGUAUUGGACAAAAAAGCACUAUGCUUUUCAAAUGAUUUGAAAGUCACAUUUAUUUGCCUCUUUAUUUUGAUGAUGGUUUGAUUUUUUUUUUUUUAGUAAAAAAAAACAAAAAACUAAACUUGUGCAAUGGUAGCAUGGAAAUUAUCUGAGGUAUCGUUGUAUGAUUGUGCUUUAGCCAGGGUGGACAUAGCUUAAUAAAAACUAGAGAUUAAAGUACAAAAAAGUAUAAGUCCAUGCUGUCUACUUCUAAGAGAACUUUUGUUCUUCAUAACUAGAUAACAUUAUGUUGCUGAUUCAUAAGGGGUUUAAAUUAAUUCUGUGAGUUAGAGCACCAGAGUUAUUAGUGUCCAUUUUCAUUUAAGAU